AUCACCGCAAAUAGUUACAAAUUCCUUUUUUUUCCCUUGUGAUGAGAACUUUUAACAUCUGCUCUCUUAGCAACUUUCAAAAAUACAAUACAGGGCAGAGGAUCUUAAUAGACAUUUUCCCAAAGAAGACAUACAGAUGGCCAAUAGGCACACGAGAAGAUGCUCAACAUCACUAAUCAUCAAGAAAAGAAGUCAAAACCACAAUGAGGUAUCACCUCAUAUAUGUUAGAAUAGCUAUAGUCAAAAAGACAAGGGAUAAGUGUUGGUGAGGAUGUGGAGAAAAGAGAACCCUUGUGCACCGUUGCUGGGAAUGUAAAUUGGCGCAGCCACUAUGGAAUAUAGUAUGCAGGUUUCUCAAAAAAUUAAAAAUAGAACUACUUACCAUAUGACCCAGCCAUCCCACUGCUGGGUAUUUAUCCGAAGAAAAUGAAAUCACUAUCCCAAAGAGAUAUCUGCACCCCCGUGUUCACUGCAGCAUAAUUUACAAUGGCGAAGACACAGAAGCAACCUAGAGGUCCAUCAACGGAUGAAUGGUGUUCAACAGAGAACAUUUCCUGACAGAGACUUGAGUGAAGGGGCCAGCUCCCCCAGUGCAGUGCUGGUAGUUGGGCUGGCUCAGAAAGACCAAUGUCCUGAGGCUGUUCUCCAGGGGGCCGGCUAGAGGAACAGGCAGUGAUGGUCUCCCAGGGAUGAAUUCUAGAUGCCUCACAGCUGCUGGGAGGAACAAUGCGGCAUGGUCAGGUUGCUAUGGCCUCAGGUGUUAGUGGAGGGAAGAUUGGGGCCCCUGGGAUCCUCACCGGAAGGCCAAGUUGCUGCCCUGGAAUCUUUGGCUUCGGGAACGCUGGAGAUUUGAGGCCCGGGCAUGCACAGUGCCUCCCCCUGUUCUGGCCAGGUGGGCUCGCCCCUGCACAGCUUGUGGAUCAGAGCCUGGGGCGAGAAGCUCCCCCACUGUGACUGUAAGUGGGGCAGGCGAGGCGUUGACAGGAUUGGGGUUUGCUUGAUAGGUAGCAUGAGCCAGACUCUUUAUGGACGAGUCUGAGAUGAGCGACCACCGGCACCUGGAGCACCAGGUGUUUCUCAUUCCAGGACUCCAGUCCCACCCCCGCAGAACUCCAGCUACAUCGAGCUUCCUCUGGGUAGAGUGGACACGCAGCAGCGCUUCGGGCCUGAUUUUGCCUUCUCUGAGCUGUCCCUGACUCUCAGGGCAUCCCGACCCAUCUGCUCCCUGCCCCUCCAUCAAGACCUGCUCUUACUCCCUGCACAUACCAGAAGUCAUGUAGUGGGGGGACAACACAACCAACUUUUUUAAGUCUCAAAAGGAUGUCAAUUGAAACCUGUUAUAGACGAAAUGCACUUCCUAGAAGUCAAUUGGCCAACAUGCAGAGCUGGAGAGAACAGAUUGUGAAAAUAGGAGGCCCUAAAGAUUACAGUGAGGCAGAAUCAAGGAAAGAAGGAGAAAGCCCCAGAAUCAUGGGUGCAGACUUGUAGCAUUGGAUCAGAGAUUCUGACUUUGCCAUACUGAGAGAUUGCCAUCAGCCAAACUAGAGGAAAACAAAGCUGGACUUCCGCACUCUCAUUUCUUAGUGCUUCUCCUCAACAUCCGGGAACCUCGGCACGUCUGCAGUUGAUUUUGAAAAUUGCACUAAGUAAGAUGAAAUUUCUUGUAACCCAGAGCAGCAAAGAAGAUAUUCUGCAGCAACUAGGGGGAAAGAGUGGUUCCUUAAGUCAAUGCACAUGGGAGCCUGCUGUCCAGAGACCGGGCUGUCUUCAGGCGAUGCAGGACAGUUUUCCCGUCUCUAUUAGUCUGCUGGGGCUGUCCUAACAAAAUGCCACAGACUUGGUAGAUUAAACAGCCAUUAAAAAAAAAGAGGGGCCAGCCCUGUGGUGCAGCGGUUAAGUUUGCAGGUUUCCCUUUGGCAGCCCGGGGUUCACCGGUUCAGACCCCAGGUGUGGACAUGGCACCGCUUGUCAAGCCAUGCUAUGGCAGGUGUCCCACAUAUAAAGUAGAGGAAGAUGGGCACAGAUGUUAGCUCAGGGCCAGUCUUCCUCAGCAAAAUGAGGAGGAUUGGCGGCAGAUGUUAGCUCAGGGCUAAGCUUCCUCAAAAAAAGAGAAAUUAAUUUUUUUACAAUUCAGGAGCCUAGAAUUUCGAGAUCAAGGUGUUGACAGGGUUGGUUUCUUCUGUGGUUUUUUCUCUCUCCUUGGCUGGUAGAUGGCUGCCUUCACCCUGUGUCUUCACAUGGUCUUCUUUCUGUGCAUAUCUGUGUCCUAAUCUCCUCCUUUUAUAAGUACACCAGUAAUGUUGGGUUAGGACCCAUCCUAAUGACCUUAUUUUAAUUUAAUUACCUCUAAAGACCCUACUUCCAAAUACAGUCAUUCUGAAGUACUGGGGGUUAGGAUAUCAACAUAUAAAUUUUGGGAAAACACAACUCAGCCCAUAACACAAUAUAAUUUCCCUUAUUUGUUAGUUAUGCUUUGCCACUUAAUACUAAGGAAAACAUGCUAUUUAUUUCUGCAUAGUGUUUUCUGUAUAAUCGAAAAUAAUUCAUUAAUUUUUUUCAAUGAUUUAAAAUGGAAUCAUUUCUAUAUUACCAAAAUGGCCAUAUCUCAUUGGUAAUUUAUCAAAUUAUAUUUAUAUUCAAUAAGAUCAAUUAUUAUUUAACAAAAAUUCUUUUUUAAUGUUUUCUCUUAAGAAAAAGGAAACAUUGUAAAAAAAUUAAAAACAGCGCAUAACAACUUGAUUAAUUCCGAACUGGAAUAUGGAGGCAGUAUUUGUUUCUUUGGAGAUAGAGAUUUUUAAACAGAAAUUAACAUAUUCAAAAAGUGAAAUAAGAAUGCCGAGAGAAGAUAUUAAUAUAUUCACAUAUUUAGAAGUAAAUAAAAGCUUUGAUUGCUAUUAAAUUUUGUUUCGAGUUGCUUAGGUCCCCUCCAAAGGAAGUAGAAACUCGUUUUUUCUUUUUUCACCGCAGCCUGAGACUAAUAAAAAUUCAUUUUAAUUAGCAAGAAUACAUUACUGUAUUUUCAGUUACAGAUGCAAAUGCAUGCCCACAGUUUGAAGCUGUAUGAAAACUUUAUAUUCUUCUUUAAAUUUUUCUUAGUUAUAUAAAACUCCUUUAUUCACAGUGAACAUGACUAUAUUUCUUUAAUGAGAUUGAGCAGAUG
Molecule: long non-coding RNA, 3160 nt
Organism: Equus caballus (horse)
Lineage: Eukaryota; Metazoa; Chordata; Mammalia; Perissodactyla; Equidae
Source: Ensembl